This 428-nucleotide ribosomal RNA is filed under the name uncultured prokaryote. RNAcentral's name for it is "bacterial SSU rRNA". It matches the Rfam family "Bacterial small subunit ribosomal RNA", at positions 355 to 774 of the family's 1533-position model. The record is from RNAcentral.
UGAGGAAUUUUGCGCAAUGGGAGCAAUCCUGACGCAGCAACGCCGCGUGGGUGAUGAAGGCCUUCGGGUCGUAAAGCCCUGUCAGGUGGGAAGAAUGUCCCGGGACUGAACAGGUUCCGGGAGUGACGGUACCACCAGAGGAAGCACCGGCUAACUCCGUGCCAGCAGCCGCGGUAAUACGGAGGGCGCAAGCGUUAUUCGGAAUUACUGGGCGUAAAGCGCGCGUAGGCGGUCGUGCAAGUCAGAUGUGAAAGCCCUCGGCUCAACCGGGGAACUGCGUCUGAUACUGCUCGACUUGAGUCCGGUAGGGGAUGGCGGAAUUCCCGGUGUAGCGGUGGAAUGCGUAGAUAUCGGGAGGAACAUCAGUGGCGAAGGCGCCCUUCUGGACAGCAACUGACGCUGAGACGCGAAAGCGUGGGGAGCAAACA